GAUGAACGCUGGCGGCGUGCCUAAUACAUGCAAGUCGAGCGAACGGACGAGAAGCUUGCUUCUCUGAUGUUAGCGGCGGACGGGUGAGUAACACGUGGAUAACCUACCUAUAAGACUGGGAUAACUUCGGGAAACCGGAGCUAAUACCAGAUGAUAUUUUGAACCGCAUGGUUCAAAAGUGAAAGACGGUCUUGCUGUCACUUAUAGAUGGAUCCGCGCUGCAUUAGCUAGUUGGUAAGGUAACGGCUUACCAAGGCAACGAUGCAUAGCCGACCUGAGAGGGGGAUCGGCCACACUGGAACUGAGACACGGUCCAGACUCCUACGGGAGGCAGCAGUAGGGAAUCUUCCGCAAUGGGCGGAAGCCUGACGGAGCAACGCCGCGUGAGUGAUGAAGGUCUUCGGAUCGUAAAACUCUGUUAUUAGGGAAGAACAUAUGUGUAAGUAACUGUGCACAUCUUGACGGUACCUAAUCAGAAAGCCACGGCUAACUACGUG
RNAcentral lists this ribosomal RNA (497 nucleotides) under uncultured bacterium. Its description in RNAcentral is "partial 16S ribosomal RNA". It matches the Rfam family "Bacterial small subunit ribosomal RNA", at positions 28 to 507 of the family's 1533-position model. The record is from RNAcentral.